This 497-nucleotide ribosomal RNA is filed under the name uncultured bacterium. RNAcentral describes it as "partial 16S ribosomal RNA". It matches the Rfam family "Bacterial small subunit ribosomal RNA", at positions 28 to 507 of the family's 1533-position model. The record is from RNAcentral.
GAUGAACGCUGGCGGCGUGCCUAAUACAUGCAAGUCGAGCGAACGGACGAGAAGCUUGCUCCUCUGAUGUUAGCGGCGGACGGGUGAGUAACACGUGGAUAACCUACCUAUAAGACUGGGAUAACUUCGGGAAACCGGAGCUAAUACUGGAUAAUAUUUUGAACCGCAUGGUUCAAAAGUGAAAGACGGUCUUGCUGUCACUUAUAGAUGGAUCCGCGCUGCAUUAGCUAGUUGGUAAGGUAACGGCUUACCAAGGCAACGAUGCAUAGCCGACCUGAGAGGGUGAUCAGCCACACUGGAACUGAGACACGGUCCAGACUCCUACGGGAGGCAGCAGUAGGGAAUCUUCCGCAAUGGGCGAAAGCCUGACGGAGCAACGCCGCGUGAGUGAUGAAGGUCUUCGGGUCGUAAAACUCUGUUAUUAGGGAAGAACAUAUGUGUAAGUAACUGUGCACAUCUUGACGGUACCUAAUCAGAAAGCCACGGCUAACUACGUG